GCCUGAUUGGCUCAGCGGUAGAGCAUCUGCCUUUGGCUCAGGGCGUGAUCCCAGAAUGCCUGGAUCAAGUCCAGCAUCGGGCC
This 83-nucleotide transfer RNA is filed under the name Canis lupus familiaris (dog). It matches the Rfam family "tRNA". From Rfam's summary of the family: Transfer RNA (tRNA) molecules are approximately 80 nucleotides in length. Lineage: Eukaryota; Metazoa; Chordata; Mammalia; Carnivora; Canidae. RNAcentral also lists the same sequence under 1 other name. The record is from Rfam by way of RNAcentral.